UAGCUCAACUGGUAGAGCAACUGACUUGUAAUCAGUAGGUUGGGGGUUCAAGUCCUCUCGCCGGCA
RNAcentral lists this transfer RNA (66 nucleotides) under Paenibacillus sp. 276b. RNAcentral describes it as "tRNA_Thr_TGT". It matches the Rfam family "tRNA". From Rfam's summary of the family: Transfer RNA (tRNA) molecules are approximately 80 nucleotides in length. Their secondary structure includes four short double-helical elements and three loops (D, anti-codon, and T loops). Lineage: Bacteria; Bacillati; Bacillota; Bacilli; Caryophanales; Paenibacillaceae. The record is from RNAcentral.